Molecule: long non-coding RNA, 1547 nt
Organism: Gorilla gorilla gorilla (western lowland gorilla)
Lineage: Eukaryota; Metazoa; Chordata; Mammalia; Primates; Hominidae
Exons: 4
Source: RefSeq, a predicted model, not a curated record
ACAGUUCUGGGCCCACCAGUCACUGGCUAUGGGGCCACCUGGGAGGGGUGUGUGAAUUCCCAGGCACUUGCAUCUCUGCAGGAGUGCAAGGGCAGGCCCCUGAAGUAGGUUUAAGUGAUCGCUCUUGGAGGUGAUGCAUAAUGAAGCUGGGGGAGCAACAAGAAAUACCUUCAUCUUUUUAGAGAAGAGUGAAAUUGAAGCCAGAGAGGUUGCUUAACUUGCCCAAGAUCACAAAGCUUCCAAGAUGAAGAGCUGGGAUUUCAUUUCAGGUUUCCCAUUUGGCAACAUCCAAGCCCUUUCCAUAAUUCCACACUGUGAAUUUGCUUCCCAAACCAAGAGUGGGAUACAAUUAACUGGGGAGUGCCACUCAUCCCUCAAUCACUGAUCUGAGUAUGGAUAUCAAAAGAAACAUUUCCUGAAGCAAGACACUGAGCUGGAAGCUUCCACGGUUGUGCCUAUACUGUGGCAGUCCUGUGCGAACCUGUCCGGCACCAUGGAAACCUGCAGGGCUGAGGUCUCCCAGGGCAAAUGGGGCUGCAGGAUGCUCACUACACCCCCAGAAACAGGAGAAGGGACAAGGACACAGGACUGUCUGUGAGCAACACUGACUUUCGGCACAGGAGAGAUCCCCUGCCCCUCCUCACUCCAGAAUAUUGCUAAGAACAUAAUUGAUCUCUCUCCUUCUCAUUCACUCACAUCUCCCAAAACAAAGGAAGAAAGACCCAUUCAACUGAUCAGAGCCUGACUUUCCAUUGCUGAGCCAUGUUUUACUAUUGAGUGGGGCAACUGCUUUAAAAAUCCAUUUGUUGGUGCAUUUUCUUGCCAGCUAUUUCUUCAUUUACAGGGUUCUGAGAGGCCUGUCCUCUGCUUCCUCCACCCAUCCAAUACGUACCACCUGUCUGCUGAGGGGCUCAGUGGCUUAGUGGUUUCAACCCUGGCUACACCAUGGAACCAUCUGGGGAGCUUUCCAAGUACUGAUGCCUGAACCUUAGUCUCAGAUUAAUGGAAACCUGAGGAAUGGGGACCCAUGACCUGGAGUCUGUAAGGCUUCCCCAUUGAUGUGAUGCUUGGUGAAAUCUGUUUGGUUCAGUGUGGGUCGGUGUGAGUGAGGAACCAAGUGAGCUGAUCAUGUAGAGCUCUCCACAUAUGAUUUGUGGGGAAGACAAGGACAUUUAUUCUUUCAAUUGGUUCAUUCGACAACUACUUACUGAGCAACUACUAGAUGCCAGCCGUGGUUCUGAAUGCUGGGAAUAGAGCGGUAAAAAUGCAGAGGACAUGCAAAUUGAAACAACGGAAUACUACUACACGCCUACUGGAGUGAACAAAAUCCAAACACUGACAACUCCAAGUGCUGAUGAGGAUGUGGAGGGAGCAGCAGGAACUCUCAUUCCUCCCUGGUGGGAAUCCAAAAUGGCACAGCCAUUUUGGAAAACAGAUUGGCAAUGUCUUACCAAACUAAGCCUACUCUUACUAUACAAUCCAGCAAUCAUUUUCCUUAGUAUUUAUGCAGUGGAGUUGAAAAUGUACAUCUGCAGAAAAACUUGCAC